This 499-nucleotide ribosomal RNA is filed under the name uncultured bacterium. RNAcentral's name for it is "bacterial SSU rRNA". It matches the Rfam family "Bacterial small subunit ribosomal RNA", at positions 28 to 524 of the family's 1533-position model. The record is from RNAcentral.
GAUGAACGCUAGCGGCAGGCUUAAUACAUGCAAGUCGAGGGGCAGCACGGUUAGCAAUAACUGGUGGCGACCGGCGCACGGGUGCGUAACACGUAUACAAUCUACCUUAAACAGGGGGAUAGCCUUUCGAAAGAGAGAUUAAUACCCCGUAAUAAAUUGAACGGCAUCGUUUGAUUUUGAAAGCUCCGGCGGUUUGAGAUGAGUAUGCGUCUGAUUAGCUAGUUGGUGAGGUAACGGCUCACCAAGGCGACGAUCAGUAGGGGAUCUGAGAGGACUAACCCCCACACUGGUACUGAGACACGGACCAGACUCCUACGGGAGGCAGCAGUAAGGAUAUUGGUCAAUGGAGGCAACUCUGAACCAGCCAUGCCGCGUGCAGGAUGACGGCCCUAUGGGUUGUAAACUGCUUUUAUACAAGAGAAAACCCUGGUACGUGUACCAGGUUGAUAGUAUUGUAAGAAUAAGCAUCGGCUAACUUCGUGCCAGCAGCCGCGGUAAU